This 308-nucleotide small nuclear RNA is filed under the name Aotus nancymaae (Ma's night monkey). Its description in RNAcentral is "7SK RNA (ENSANAG00000010693.1)". It matches the Rfam family "7SK RNA". From Rfam's summary of the family: 7SK was discovered as an abundant small nuclear RNA in the mid-70s but a possible function has only recently been suggested. Two independent studies have found that 7SK RNA binds the CDK9/cyclin T complex (known as elongation factor P-TEFb). P-TEFb activates transcription by phosphorylating the C-terminal domain of RNA polymerase II. The record is from Rfam by way of RNAcentral. Lineage: Eukaryota; Metazoa; Chordata; Mammalia; Primates; Aotidae.
GGAUGUGAGGGCAAUCUGGCUGUGACAUCUGUCACCCCAUUGAUCGCCAGGGUUGAUUCGGCUGAUCAGGCUGGGUAGGCGGGUGUCCCCUUUCUCCCUCACCACUCCAUGUGUGUCCCUCCCGAAGCUGCGCACUCGGUUGAAGAGGACGACCAUCCCCGAUAGAGGAGGACCGGUCUUCGGUCAAGGGUAUACGAGUAGCUGUGCUCCCCUGCUAGAACCUCCAAACAAGCUCUCAGAUUAUUACACAAUGUAAUUAGUAUAUCCAUCACUUCAAACACUUGUCAUUUCUUUGUAGUAAGAACAUU